GCCGAAAUAGCUCAGUCGGGAGAGCGUGAGACUGAAGCGAGCGUGGUCCGCCACCUGCUUCGCCUUCUUAAGGUCAUUGGUUCGAUUCCGAUUUUCGGCA
Molecule: non-coding RNA, 100 nt
Organism: Jaminaea rosea
Lineage: Eukaryota; Fungi; Basidiomycota; Exobasidiomycetes; Microstromatales
Source: the annotation of a RefSeq genome assembly